RNAcentral lists this ribosomal RNA (200 nucleotides) under uncultured bacterium. RNAcentral describes it as "partial 16S ribosomal RNA". It matches the Rfam family "Bacterial small subunit ribosomal RNA", at positions 524 to 723 of the family's 1533-position model. The record is from RNAcentral.
UACAGAGGGGGCAAGCGUUGUUCGGAAUUACUGGGCGUAAAGGGCGCGUAGGCGGCCUGUUAAGUCGAACGUGAAAUCCCCGGGCUCAACCCGGGAACUGCGUCCGAUACUGGCAGGCUUGAAUUCGGGAGAGGGAUGUGGAAUUCCAGGUGUAGCGGUGAAAUGCGUAGAUAUCUGGAGGAACACCGGUGGCGAAGGCG